Molecule: long non-coding RNA, 397 nt
Filed under: Hordeum vulgare
Lineage: Eukaryota; Viridiplantae; Streptophyta; Magnoliopsida; Poales; Poaceae
Description: long non-coding RNA (HVUL_LNC012951)
Source: RNAcentral
GGCGGGCAUGCCAGGGUAAACCGACCGCUCCCUCCCCACACGUACGCGCAGGCUAGUUAAAGCGCGCACGCGCGGCCCGCUGGUGAUCGGUCGAGGGGAUGAGGCGACGGCGACGGCGACGUGAAAGAGGCCAUCGCGCGCGGUCGUCGAUCGUUGUCGAUCUAAUCGCGUCGCGCCGCCAACCUCGUGCCGCGCCGUUGAUGCGAUGCCAUCUACGGAGGACGGACGCGCGGUCCGGCCGGGGAAACGCGCGCCGGACCGAUAUGCCGGCACGCUUCCGGAAGGGCCGUGGAAGGAUCGGACCCGAAGGAUGACGUGUCGAGCAGGCGCGGUGGAUCCCUCCCCGCGGUUACACUUACACGGGAUUUUGCUUUUCUUUCGCUUCUGCUAAACCUNN